This is a long non-coding RNA of Oncorhynchus nerka (sockeye salmon), 1962 nucleotides long. RefSeq lists it as uncharacterized. The transcript is spliced from 2 exons. Lineage: Eukaryota; Metazoa; Chordata; Actinopteri; Salmoniformes; Salmonidae. The record is from RefSeq and is a predicted model, not a curated record.
UGUGUGUGUGUGUGUGUGUGUGUGUGUGUGUGUGUGUGUGUGUGUGUAAACAAACAGAGAGCUUGACACACAGUGGACAAAACAGGUGCUUUAAAGAACAAUUGUACUGUUUACGGUAGCUGUUACUCAUCUUUAUACAGAUGUAAGAUCUUAAUCUGAGGCAGUUUGCAACAACAGAAAAAUAAUCCUGCAGCAACAGGAAAUGUGAAUUAUAAUUAUUAAAAUUAAUGAAUGUGUUUGUCGGGGUUGAUCCAUAUUUCGUUAGGGCAAAUCCAGUCUAAAAUUUCAGUGGGAUUUUUUUUCAUUCAGCAACAAAAGAUUGCCCAAAUGAAGAUCCUACAUGUGUACGUGGAUUGACUGUCAAACAGAGAGAAAGAGAGAGGAAAAGAGAGGGGGAAGAGAGAGAGAGAAGAAAAAUGGCGAAGAAGUGGGAUGAGUGGGAGCCUGUCUGAUGCAAAAAUGAACACAUUUAUAGCUGACAAGUUUGCUAAAAGGCUUCCAUCAAAGUGAGUGAUUUCCUCAUAAUCUUUCCUCUCUCUUCACAUGCCAGAAAAUCUGGAGCUCCUGCUGUUCUACUCUUCUCUUUCCAGUGACUGCUGACCCUCAAGGCUCCCCACUGAUGGCGCAAAGGUACUGGAGGGGUAACCGAUGGAGCAAUGCAACAAAUUUGGCAGUUAACCCAGCACCAACCGCUGCCAUGUUUGAACGGUUGCCCGAGUGACCAGGAGGCCCACACGGUGAGGUUUGGGCUUUCCGUUUUUCACACCCGUGGCACCAAGGGAGGAAAAGCAGAUUGGGACAGGAGGUGUUGGUUACAGUGGAACCGGAGACCUAGAGAACACAACACAAUAAAACAUGAUGGGGAGAGGUGUUUCCAACUCUUAAAAGGAGGAUCCAAGAUUGGAUAGCCUGUCCAUCAUUUCAUCCAGCAUGGUAUCCUAUCUCUACUCUCUGUGCUGUGAACCUUAUCCAGAGUACUGGGAUUAUUUCAACUCAUCCAAAUUGUUUAGUUUUGCCAUGAAAUAACACAUAGGGAAAGGGGUGUCUUGAAAUUGUAUGUAUGAAGCUGAAAAAGCAAGGCUUAGUUUGUGAUAUGCAGAAGACAUGGUGAAUCUAUUGGCACAGAUAAGGCAUAUAGUACAUAAACCUAUUAGUCCACACACACACACACACACACACACCUGCUCCCAGGCCCCUCAGCCGCUGCCAUUGUAAAAGUACAUGAUUUCUAGCUGCAGCCCUCUUAAGAGUCCUUCAGUUUAAAAAAAUAAAAAAAUAAAACAAGCCUAAUGCUUGUGAGUCAUUUUGAAAUCACCAUUUUAUAAUUUAUUUAUCUUUUUAUUGACAGCAGAAAAUUUGUGUCAUGUCAACUAGCCCCAGGGACCACUGUGAAAGUGGAGAGCAGAAAAUGUGGCUUGAGUUAGCCAGGCGGAUUAGCACUGAGUGCCUGACGAGGAAAACUACAAUGCAUCACUUGAAGGUUUACGUUUUUUCUAAAAUGUUUUCAUGUUUUUUUGCGGUUGUGCUUCAUUAGGAUGACCAACGAAACAUUCUGGGAUUUUACAUUGUGUGGCAUGACAGCUCUAAGACUCAUUCUGUGGUAAAUGUUCAGCAACAUGCUGAUUUUGACUGUGAUUUACAGGUAAUGUGACUAAACCAUGAUGUUAAGGGCUUCUCAGCACACUUCAGCUCAGGUUGCAAAGUGCCCCCUAACCGCAGAUUUAAAAUCAGAUGUAUGCAAUGUCAUCAAAAGUCUAAAUAUUUAGUACGCAUGGAAAGGGGGAAUUUGUGCAAGUUUAGAGCACCACCAUUAGGUAAAUGAUCUGAGAAUUUGUUAUUGUUUUGGGAACAGUAAUUGGUGACAUGUUUUAUCUAAAGCCUUUCAAAUCUCUUAUUCCUCAACAUGGGGACAAUUGGGGGUACUCCAACCCUCCAAAUAAAAAAUACAUUUUAAAAACGGUA